This 292-nucleotide long non-coding RNA is filed under the name Homo sapiens (human). RNAcentral describes it as "non-protein coding lnc-TIA1-1:3". Lineage: Eukaryota; Metazoa; Chordata; Mammalia; Primates; Hominidae. The record is from RNAcentral.
GGCCGGGAGGUGAGCGUCCCGGAGUCGGGCGGCCGCUCCGUUGACUGCAGGGCCCCGGCGGUCUUCCUCCGCUGUUCCGAGGCCGUUGAGGGCUGAUGUGCUCCAUCCUCCCACUUGUGGUUUGGCAAGCCAUCCAGCCGACUACAAACCCACGUUUGUGAGUUACCUGCUGGCUGUGACGCUUCCGUCAAAUCUGAACUAUCAAGAUCUCCACUUAGGGAAGUGGGAAUCUUAUUUGCGGAACAUUGGGCAGAAGCUUUGCCAUUGGCUGGUGGAGAAGGAGGAGGCAGAA